RNAcentral lists this ribosomal RNA (433 nucleotides) under uncultured bacterium. Its description in RNAcentral is "partial 16S ribosomal RNA". It matches the Rfam family "Bacterial small subunit ribosomal RNA", at positions 29 to 507 of the family's 1533-position model. The record is from RNAcentral.
AACGAACGCUGGCGGCAUGCCUAACACAUGCAAGUCGAACGAAACCUUCGGGUCUAGUGGCGCACGGGUGCGUAACGCGUGGGAACCUGCCCUUAGGUUCGGAAUAACUCCCCGAAAGGGGUGCUAAUACCGGAUAAUGUCUUCGGACCAAAGAUUUAUCGCCUUUGGAUGGGCCCGCGUUGGAUUAGCUAGUUGGUAGGGUAAAAGCCUACCAAGGCGACGAUCCAUAGCUGGUCGGAGAGGAUGAUCAGCCACACUGGGACUGAGACACGGCCCAGACUCCUACGGGAGGCAGCAGUGGGGAAUAUUGGACAAUGGGCGAAAGCCUGAUCCAGCAAUGCCGCGUGAGUGAUGAAGGCCUUAGGGUUGUAAAGCUCUUUUACCCGGGAUGAUAAUGACGGUACCGGGAGAAUAAGCUCCGGCUAACUACGUG